GACGAACGCUGGCGGCGCGCUUAACACAUGCAAGUCGAGCGAGAACCAGACCUUCGGGUCUGGGGACAGCGGCGAACGGGUGAGUAACACGUGGGUAAUCUGCCCUCGAUUCUGGGAUAGCCCGGGGAAACCCGGAUUAAUACCGGAUAGCCUCUUGAGCUUUCGGGCUCUCGAGAAAAGGUAGCUUCGGCCUCCGAUCGAGGAUGAGCCCGCGGCGGAUUAGCUUGUUGGCGGGGUAACGGCCCACCAAGGCGACGAUCCGUAGCUGGUCUGAGAGGACGAUCAGCCACACUGGGACUGAGACACGGCCCAGACUCCUACGGGAGGCAGCAGUGGGGAAUCUUGCGCAAUGGGCGAAAGCCUGACGCAGCGACGCCGCGUGAGGGAAGAAGGCCUUCGGGUUGUAAACCUCUUUCAGGAGGGACGAAGCCACUCGGGUUAAUAGCCCAGAGGGUGACGGUACCUCCAGAAGAAGCCCCGGCUAACUACGUGCCAGCCGCCGCCGUAACAC
This 511-nucleotide ribosomal RNA is filed under the name uncultured bacterium. RNAcentral's name for it is "bacterial SSU rRNA". It matches the Rfam family "Bacterial small subunit ribosomal RNA", at positions 28 to 526 of the family's 1533-position model. The record is from RNAcentral.